RNAcentral lists this ribosomal RNA (497 nucleotides) under uncultured bacterium. RNAcentral's name for it is "partial 16S ribosomal RNA". It matches the Rfam family "Bacterial small subunit ribosomal RNA", at positions 28 to 507 of the family's 1533-position model. The record is from RNAcentral.
GAUGAACGCUGGCGGCGUGCCUAAUACAUGCAAGUCGAGCGAACAGACGAGGAGCUUGCUCCUCUGACGUUAGCGGCGGACGGGUGAGUAACACGUGGAUAACCUACCUAUAAGACUGGGAUAACUUCGGGAAACCGGAGCUAAUACCGGAUAAUAUAUUGAACCGCAUGGUUCAAUAGUGAAAGACGGUUUUGCUGUCACUUAUAGAUGGAUCCGCGCCGCAUUAGCUAGUUGGUAAGGUAACGGCUUACCAAGGCAACGAUGCGUAGCCGACCUGAGAGGGUGGUCGCCCAACUGGAAACGGAACCACGGCCAAGACCCCUGGGGGAGGAAGAAGGAGGAAUUCUCCAGAAAGGGGCAAAACCCGGAGGGACAACCCCGGGGGGAGUGAGAAAGUUUUUGGGAUCAAAAAACUUUUUUAUGGGGGAAAAAAAAAUGUGAAAGAAACUAUGCCCUUCUGGGGGGUACUUAAUAAGAAGCCCAGGGCAAACUACGCC